UACGUAGGGUCCGAGCGUUGUCCGGAAUUACUGGGCGUAAAGGGCGCGUAGGCGGCCGAUCAAGUCAGGCGUGAAAUUCCCGGGCUCAACCUGGGGGCUGCGCUUGAUACUGAUUGGCUUGAAUGCGGGAGAGGAUAGUGGAAUUCCCAGUGUAGAGGUGAAAUUCGUAGAUAUUGGGAAGAACACCGGUGGCGAAGGCGGCUAUCUGGCCCGUAAUUGACGCUGAGGCGCGAAAGCGUGGGGAGCAAACAGG
This 253-nucleotide ribosomal RNA is filed under the name uncultured bacterium. RNAcentral describes it as "partial 16S ribosomal RNA". It matches the Rfam family "Bacterial small subunit ribosomal RNA", at positions 524 to 776 of the family's 1533-position model. The record is from RNAcentral.